Molecule: ribosomal RNA, 253 nt
Filed under: uncultured bacterium
Lineage: Bacteria
Description: partial 16S ribosomal RNA
Rfam family: Bacterial small subunit ribosomal RNA
Source: RNAcentral
UACGAAGGUGUCAAACGUUGUCCGGAAUAACUGGGCGUAAAGGGCGCGUAGGCGGUCGCGUAAGUCAGAUGUGAAAGCUCUGGGCUCAACCCAGGAAUUGCAUUUGAUACUGCGUGACUUGAGUUCGGUAGAGGAGGGCGGAAUUCCAGAAGUAGCGGUGAAAUGCGUUGAUAUCUGGAGGAACACCCGUGGCGAAGGCGGCUCUCUGGUCCGAUACUGACGCUGAGGCGCGAAAGGUAGGGUAGCAAACAGG